GCGGCAGCGAACGUAUCACCCAAGACAACUUUACGGAGUUGACGAUUGACGGAGCGAAGCGACGUCAAAGCGUUCAUUAAAGUCGAGUUGGCUUAGGGAUACGUUCGUUGGGUAGGGGAGCGUUCUGUAAGCCUGUGAAGGUGGCCUGUGAGGGUUGCUGGAGGUAUCAGAAGUGCGAAUGCUGACAUAAGUAACGAUAAAGCGGGUGAAAAGCCCGCUCGCCGGAAGACCAAGGGUUCCUGUCCAACGUUAAUCGGGGCAGGGUGAGUCGACCCCUAAGGCGAGGCCGAAAGGCGUAGUCGAUGGGAAACGGGUUAAUAUUCCCGUACUUGGUGUUACUGCGAAGGGGGGACGGAGAAGGCUAUGUUGGCCGGGCGACGGUUGUCCCGGUUUAAGCGUGUAGGCUGGUUUUCCAGGCAAAUCCGGAAAAUCAAGGCUGAGGCGUGACGACGAGGCACUACGGUGCU
This 467-nucleotide ribosomal RNA is filed under the name Salmonella enterica subsp. enterica serovar Saintpaul. RNAcentral's name for it is "bacterial LSU rRNA". It matches the Rfam family "Bacterial large subunit ribosomal RNA", at positions 1202 to 1586 of the family's 2925-position model. The record is from RNAcentral. Lineage: Bacteria; Pseudomonadati; Pseudomonadota; Gammaproteobacteria; Enterobacterales; Enterobacteriaceae.